RNAcentral lists this ribosomal RNA (373 nucleotides) under uncultured organism. RNAcentral describes it as "partial 16S ribosomal RNA". It matches the Rfam family "Bacterial small subunit ribosomal RNA", at positions 527 to 896 of the family's 1533-position model. The record is from RNAcentral.
GUAGGUGGCAAGCGUUGUCCGGAAUUAUUGGGCGUAAAGCGCGCGCAGGUGGGUUCUUUAAGUCUGAUGUGAAAGCCCCCGGGCUCAACCGGGGAGGGUCAUUGGAAACUGGGGAACUUGAGUGCAGGAGAGGAAAGUGGAAUUCCACGUGUAGCGGUGAAAUGCGUAGAUAUGUGGAGGAACACCAGUGGCGAAGGCGACCUUCUGGCCUGUAACUGACACUGAGGCGCGAAAGCGUGGGGAGCAAACAGGAUUAGAUACCCUGGUAGUCCACGCCGUAAACGAUGAGUGCUAAGUGUUGGGGGGUUUCCGCCCCUCAGUGCUGCAGCUAACGCAUUAAGCACUCCGCCUGGGGAGUACGGUCGCAAGACUG